This 202-nucleotide ribosomal RNA is filed under the name uncultured prokaryote. Its description in RNAcentral is "partial 16S ribosomal RNA". It matches the Rfam family "Bacterial small subunit ribosomal RNA", at positions 525 to 726 of the family's 1533-position model. The record is from RNAcentral.
ACGUAUGUUUCGAGCGUUUUCCGGAAUCACUGGGCGUAAAGGGCGCGUAGGUGGCCCGUUAAGUGGUCGGUGAAAUCCCGGGGCUCAACUCCGGGGCUGCCGGCAAGACUGUCGGACUUGAGCACGGUAGGGGCAGAUGGAAUUCCCGGUGUAGCGGUGGAAUGCGUAGAUAUCGGGAAGAAUACCAGUGGCGAAGGCGUUC